This 464-nucleotide ribosomal RNA is filed under the name uncultured Klebsiella sp. Its description in RNAcentral is "bacterial SSU rRNA". It matches the Rfam family "Bacterial small subunit ribosomal RNA", at positions 338 to 795 of the family's 1533-position model. The record is from RNAcentral. Lineage: Bacteria; Pseudomonadati; Pseudomonadota; Gammaproteobacteria; Enterobacterales; Enterobacteriaceae.
CCUACGGGGGCCAGCAGUGGGGAAUAUUGCACAAUGGGCGCAAGCCUGAUGCAGCCAUGCCGCGUGUGUGAAGAAGGCCUUCGGGUUGUAAAGCACUUUCAGCGGGGAGGAAGGCGUUAAGGUUAAUAACCUUGUCGAUUGACGUACCCGCAGAAGAAGCACCGGCUAACUCCGUGCCAGCAGCCGCGGUAAUACGGAGGGUGCAAGCGUUAAUCGGAAUUACUGGGCGUAAAGCGCACGCAGGCGGUCUGUCAAGUCGGAUGUGAAAUCCCCGGGCUCAACCUGGGAACUGCAUUCGAAACUGGCAGGCUAGAGUCUUGUAGAGGGGGGUAGAAUUCCAGGUGUAGCGGUGAAAUGCGUAGAGAUCUGGAGGAAUACCGGUGGCGAAGGCGGCCCCCUGGACAAAGACUGACGCUCAGGUGCGAAAGCGUGGGGAGCAAACAGGAUUAGAUACCCCGGUAGUC